RNAcentral lists this ribosomal RNA (168 nucleotides) under Chloroflexota bacterium. RNAcentral describes it as "Chloroflexi bacterium (groundwater metagenome) partial 16S ribosomal RNA". It matches the Rfam family "Bacterial small subunit ribosomal RNA", at positions 1380 to 1533 of the family's 1533-position model. The record is from RNAcentral. Lineage: Bacteria; Bacillati; Chloroflexota.
CUUGUACACACCGCCCGUCACGUCAUGAAAGCUGGCAACACUUGAAGCCGAUGAGCCAACCCUCUUCGGAGGGAGGCAGUCGUCUAGGGUGGGGUCGGUGAUUGGGACGAAGUCGUAACAAGGUAGCCGUAGCGGAAGCUGCGGCUGGAUCACCUCCUUUCUAGGGAG